AACGGUAGCUAAUACCGCAUAACGUCGCAAGACCAAAGAGGGGGACCUUCGGGCCUCUUGCCAUCAGAUGUGCCCAGAUGGGAUUAGCUUGUUGGUGGGGUAACGGCUCACCAAGGCGACGAUCCCUAGCUGGUCUGAGAGGAUGACCAGCCACACUGGAACUGAGACACGGUCCAGACUCCUACGGGAGGCAGCAGUGGGGAAUAUUGCACAAUGGGCGCAAGCCUGAUGCAGCCAUGCCGCGUGUAUGAAGAAGGCCUUCGGGUUGUAAAGUA
Molecule: ribosomal RNA, 275 nt
Filed under: Citrobacter koseri
Lineage: Bacteria; Pseudomonadati; Pseudomonadota; Gammaproteobacteria; Enterobacterales; Enterobacteriaceae
Description: partial 16S ribosomal RNA
Rfam family: Bacterial small subunit ribosomal RNA
Source: RNAcentral